GACGAACGCUGGCGGCGUGCUUUACACAUGCAAGUCGAACGGAAAGGCCCCUUUGGGGGUACUCGAGUGGCGAACGGGUGAGUAACACGUGAGUAACCUGCCCUUGACUUCGGGAUAACUUCAGGAAACUGGGGCUAAUACCGGAUAGGAAUCCUUGCUGCAUGGUGGGGGUUGGAAAGCUUCGGCGGUUUUGGAUGGACUCGCGGCUUAUCAGCUUGUUGGUGGGGUAGUGGCUUACCAAGGCUUUGACGGGUAGCCGGCCUGAGAGGGCGACCGGCCACAUUGGGACUGAGAUACGGCCCAGACUCCUACGGGAGGCAGCAGUGGGGAAUAUUGCACAAUGGGCGGAAGCCUGAUGCAGCAACGCCGCGUGCGGGAUGACGGCCUUCGGGUUGUAAACCGCUUUCAGCAGGGGCGAAGCUUGUGGUGACGGCACCUGCAGAAGAAGCACCGGCUAACUACGUG
This 465-nucleotide ribosomal RNA is filed under the name uncultured bacterium. RNAcentral describes it as "partial 16S ribosomal RNA". It matches the Rfam family "Bacterial small subunit ribosomal RNA", at positions 28 to 507 of the family's 1533-position model. The record is from RNAcentral.